RNAcentral lists this ribosomal RNA (161 nucleotides) under uncultured bacterium. Its description in RNAcentral is "partial 16S ribosomal RNA". It matches the Rfam family "Bacterial small subunit ribosomal RNA", at positions 358 to 511 of the family's 1533-position model. The record is from RNAcentral.
GGAAUCUUCCACAAUGGACGCAAGUCUGAUGGAGCAACGCCGCGUGAGUGAAGAAGGGUUUCGGCUCGUAAAACUCUGUUGUUAAAGAAGAACAUAUCUGAGAGUAACUGUUCAGGUAUUGACGGUAUUUAACCAGAAAGCCACGGCUAACUACGUGCCAG